CGAAACGCCAGCGUACAAGCUUAUGGUUAGUGUCUAUAUGCCACAAGUGGUUAGGCCCCAUUACGUUAUAAACUCGUCUGUGAAGUCUUCCUGAUUUCCUUGCUUGAGCUCCAGAUGAAUCUAAACGUUGAAUAGAGUCUCUAAGACGCCAUCUCUGUACUCGAAUGCCUUUGGCAAUUAACAUAUGUUUAAGCAUAUUUUCACC
This 205-nucleotide long non-coding RNA is filed under the name Mytilus galloprovincialis (Mediterranean mussel). The record is from RNAcentral. Lineage: Eukaryota; Metazoa; Mollusca; Bivalvia; Mytilida; Mytilidae.